UGGGGAAUUUUGGACAAUGGGCGCAAGCCUGAUCCAGCCAUGCCGCGUGCAGGAUGAAGGCCUUCGGGUUGUAAACUGCUUUUGUACGGAACGAAAAGACUCUGGUUAAUACCUGGGGUCCAUGACGGUACCGUAAGAAUAAGCACCGGCUAACUACGUGCCAGCAGCCGCGGUAAUACGUAGGGUGCGAGCGUUAAUCGGAAUUACUGGGCGUAAAGCGUGCGCAGGCGGUUAUAUAAGACAGAUGUGAAAUCCCCGGGCUCAACCUGGGAAUGGCAUUUGUGACUGUAGAGCUAGAGUACGGUAGAGGAGGAUGGAAUUCCGCGUGUAGCAGUGAAAUGCGUAGAUAUGCGGAGGAACACCGAUGGCGAAGGCAAUCCCCUGGACCUGUACUGACGCUCAUGCACGAAAGCGUGGGGAGCAAACAGGAUUAGAUACCCCCGUAGUCCCUGAGCGGGCUGGCAAGGCGCAU
This 472-nucleotide ribosomal RNA is filed under the name uncultured bacterium. RNAcentral describes it as "bacterial SSU rRNA". It matches the Rfam family "Bacterial small subunit ribosomal RNA", at positions 355 to 825 of the family's 1533-position model. The record is from RNAcentral.